UUUGCUGUCGGAAGUUAAAGCGGUCACUGCCCAUCAGAAUCUUGCCCAACCCGGUGCCUCAAAUAUGAUUUCCAUUCCUAUAAGUGGUCGUGUUUGUUGGCAGACAAGUUUCCUAUGAUAAACUGCUUUGGCUGCUGCUUUGGGUUUUAACUGGUUGGAUAGUGUCUGUUUUCAUUUACUGAUGGCACAUAGCCCCAUGUAAAGCACAUUCUUUUUUUAUGCAGAAGACCUCAGCUGGCUAGAUAGGAAACUGAAGAAUCCUGGAUAACUGGUUAUAUUUCUAGAUGACAUGUUCUUCAAUACAAGCUUAGAAAACUAAUCACAGAACAGGUACAGAUAGUUUCAUGGAAACAGAAAACCAAAGCAGGAUGUCUUCUAUGCAGCAAGCCAGCUUCCCCUCCAUUUGAAAUGUACAUGACAAAUACACUAAUUAAUA
This is a long non-coding RNA of Candoia aspera, 436 nucleotides long. RefSeq lists it as uncharacterized. The transcript has 3 exons. The record is from RefSeq and is a predicted model, not a curated record. NCBI's taxonomy places the organism in Eukaryota, Metazoa, Chordata, Lepidosauria, Squamata, Candoiidae.